AUACGGAGGAUGCAAGCGUUAUCCGGAUUUAUUGGGUUUAAAGGGUGCGUAGGCGGAUGAUUAAGCGUGAGGUGAAAUGCCACUGCUCAACAGUGGAACUGCCUCGCGAACUGGUUGUCUUGAAUGCUCCUGCCGUGGGAGGAAUGUGUGGUGUAGCGGUGAAAUGCAUAGAGAUCACACAGAACACCGAUUGCGAAGGCAUCUCACGAAGGGGUGAUUGACGCUGAGGCAUGAAAGCGUGGGGAUCAAACAGGAUUAGAUACCCUGGUAGUCCACGCAGUAAACGAUGAUAACUAACCGCUGGGUCGUAGUGAUUCAGUGGCCAAGCGAAAGCGAUAAGUUAUCCACCUGGGGAGUACGACCGCAAGGUUGAAACUCAAAUGAAUUGACGGGG
This 394-nucleotide ribosomal RNA is filed under the name uncultured bacterium. RNAcentral describes it as "partial 16S ribosomal RNA". It matches the Rfam family "Bacterial small subunit ribosomal RNA", at positions 523 to 918 of the family's 1533-position model. The record is from RNAcentral.